RNAcentral lists this ribosomal RNA (415 nucleotides) under uncultured bacterium. Its description in RNAcentral is "bacterial SSU rRNA". It matches the Rfam family "Bacterial small subunit ribosomal RNA", at positions 976 to 1381 of the family's 1533-position model. The record is from RNAcentral.
UGGGUUUGACAUACUGGGAUUAGCCCUGUGAAAGCGGGGUAACGCUCCUUAGGGAGUGGAACCAGAACAGGUGUUGCAUGGCUGUCGUCAGCUCGUGCCGUGAGGUGUUGGGUUAAGUCCCAUAACGAGCGAAACCUUUGUCCUUAGUUGCCAGCGGAUAAUGCCGGGGACUCUAGGGAGACUGCGGACGUUAAGUCUGAGGAAGGUGGAGACGACGUCAAGUCAUCAUGGCCCUUAUGCCCAGGGCUACACACGUGCUACAAUGGUCGGUACAAAGGGAAGCGAGACUGUGAAGUGGAGCAAAUCCCAAAAAGCCGAUCUCAGUUCGGAUUGAGGGCUGCAAUUCGCCCUCAUGAAGCCGGAAUCGCUAGUAAUCGUGGGUCAGCAAUACCACGGUGAAUGUGUUCCCGAGCCU